GUAGGUGAACCUGCGGAAGGAUCAUUACAAAUCCUUUCACUCUUUACGAGUACCACGUUGAAUUGUAUGUGUGAGCGAGCGAACCUUUAGGGGAUCGCUCGCCAUCAUCACAACCUAGUUGUUUCUUGUUGAUCAAGUGUAACAGAAGAGGCGGAGAGAACCGCAGCGACGCGUCCGCGUGUCCGCCGCAAGGGCUCACCCCUCAUCACAAUCUAGUACAACUUAUAACAAUGGAUCUCUAGGCUCUUGC
RNAcentral lists this unclassified non-coding RNA (250 nucleotides) under plant metagenome. Its description in RNAcentral is "partial contains small subunit ribosomal RNA, internal transcribed spacer 1, and 5.8S ribosomal RNA". The record is from RNAcentral.